This 318-nucleotide ribosomal RNA is filed under the name uncultured Fusobacteriota bacterium. RNAcentral describes it as "bacterial SSU rRNA". It matches the Rfam family "Bacterial small subunit ribosomal RNA", at positions 28 to 346 of the family's 1533-position model. Lineage: Bacteria; Fusobacteriati; Fusobacteriota. The record is from RNAcentral.
GAUGAACGCUGACAGAAUGCUUAACACAUGCAAGUCGACUGGAAUUCACCUUCGGGUGUUAGUACGGUGGCGGACGGGUGAGUAACGCGUAAAGAACUUGCCCUUCAGACCGGGACAACUGUUGGAAACGACAGCUAAUACUGGAUAUUAUGGAAUCCCGGCAUCGGGAAACUAUGAAAGCUAUAUGCGCUGGAGGAGAGCUUUGCGUCCCAUUAGCUAGUUGGUAGGGUAAUGGCCUACCAAGGCGAUGAUGGGUAGCCGGCCUGAGAGGGUGAUCGGCCACAAGGGGACUGAGACACGGCCCUUACUCCUACGGGU